Long non-coding RNA from Mesocricetus auratus (golden hamster), 576 nucleotides. RefSeq lists it as uncharacterized. The transcript is spliced from 2 exons. NCBI's taxonomy places the organism in Eukaryota, Metazoa, Chordata, Mammalia, Rodentia, Cricetidae. The record is from RefSeq and is a predicted model, not a curated record.
CAUGUGGGUGGUGUCCUUCCCCCUGCAAGCAGGCACUAUUAAUAUAUGCAAAGCAUAUGCAAAUCACCCAGAAGAGAGACACAACAUCGCAGGAAUGUCAGAAGAGACCUUGGAGAUCAUCCAGGCCAGCCCCCUCAUUUCAGGGCAGGAGCUGCUUCCCAGCCAAAUCCAAAGCCUUCAUCUCCUCUUUUCAGAGCUGGGAAUGAAAGAAGGGGAAGCGAGUGCAGCCCUCAAACCCGCUGACGGCCAGAUUUUUAUUAUCUCUGCUCAAAUAAGCCCUGGGAAGCCAGCUACCGAGUCUUCAAAGAGCCCCUGAGUGCCUCAUUGAAGCUGCACCUGCUCUGGCCCACCCACAGCAGGCUCGGGCUAGGGCACAACUUAUCCCCAGCGCCCCCAGCUCCAGGGACCUGAGCCAAGGAUGCCAGAAGCCUCAACCUCAGCACCUCAGGUCCAGGCCGGGGCCAUGAGGUCAGGGAGCCGGGCCAGACCUGGCCCAGCUGGGCAUCUAGGCAGUCCCUGGCCCUAUCUGGGCCUGAGCAACAUAAAUGAAGGAGGAAAAUGAAUCUCCUUGCCAGA